ACGCACGCUGGCGGCGUGCUUCACACCUGCCAGUCGAACGGAAAGGCCCCUUUGGGGGUACUCGAGUGGCGAACGGGUGAGUAACACGUGAGUAACCUGCCCUUGACUUCGGGAUAACUUCAGGAAACUGGGGCUAAUACCGGAUAGGAAUCCUUGCUGCAUGGUGGGGGUUGGAAAGCUUCGGCGGUUUUGGAUGGACUCGCGGCUUAUCAGCUUGUUGGUGGGGUAGUGGCUUACCAAGGCUUUGACGGGUAGCCGGCCUGAGAGGGCGACCGGCCACAUUGGGACUGAGAUACGGCCCAGACUCCUACGGGAGGCAGCAGUGGGGAAUAUUGCACAAGGGGCGGAAGCCUGAUGCAGCAACGCCGCGGGCGGGAUGACGGCCUUCGGGUUGUAAACCGCUUUCAGCAGGGGCGAAGCUUGUGGUGACGGUACCUGCAGAAGAAGCACCGGCUAAAUACGUG
RNAcentral lists this ribosomal RNA (464 nucleotides) under uncultured bacterium. Its description in RNAcentral is "partial 16S ribosomal RNA". It matches the Rfam family "Bacterial small subunit ribosomal RNA", at positions 29 to 507 of the family's 1533-position model. The record is from RNAcentral.